GAUGAACGCUGGCGGCGUGCCUAAUACAUGCAAGUCGAGCGAACAGACGAGGAGCUUGCUCCUCUGACGUUAGCGGCGGACGGGUGAGUAACACGUGGAUAACCUACCUAUAAGACUGGGAUAACUUCGGGAAACCGGAGCUAAUACCGGAUAAUAUAUUGAACCGCAUGGUUCAAUAGUGAAAGACGGUUUUGCUGUCACUUAUAGAUGGAUCCGCGCCGCAUUAGCUAGUUGGUAAGGUAACGGCUUACCAAGGCAACGAUGCGUAGCCGACCUGAGAGGGUGAUCGGCCACACUGGAACUGGAACACGGUCCAGACUCCUACGGGAGGCAGCAGUAGGGAAUCUUCCGCAAUGGGCGAAAGCCUGACGGAGCAACGCCGCGUGGGUGAUGAAGGUCUUCGGAUCGUAAAACUCUGUUAUUAGGGAAAAACAAAUGUGUAAGUAACUAUGCACGUCUUGACGGUACCUAAUCAGAAAGCCACGGCUAACUACGUG
Molecule: ribosomal RNA, 497 nt
Filed under: uncultured bacterium
Lineage: Bacteria
Description: partial 16S ribosomal RNA
Rfam family: Bacterial small subunit ribosomal RNA
Source: RNAcentral